GGGUUGUGAGGUUAAGCGACUAAGCGUACACGGUGGAUGCCCUGGCAGUCAGAGGCGAUGAAGGACGUGCUAAUCUGCGAUAAGCGUCGGUAAGGUGAUAUGAACCGUUAUAACCGGCGAUUUCCGAAUGGGGAAACCCAGUGUGUUUCGACACACUAUCAUUAACUGAAUCCAUAGGUUAAUGAGGCGAACCGGGGGAACUGAAACAUCUAAGUACCCCGAGGAAAAGAAAUCAACCGAGAUUCCCCCAGUAGCGGCGAGCGAACGGGGAGGAGCCCAGAGCCUGAAUCAGUGUGUGUGUUAGUGGAAGCGUCUGGAAAGGCGCGCGAUACAGGGUGACAGCCCCGUACACAAAAAUGCACAUGCUGUGAGCUCGAUGAGUAGGGCGGGACACGUGGUAUCCUGUCUGAAUAUGGGGGGACCAUCCUCCAAGGCUAAAUACUCCUGACUGACCGAUAGUGAACCAGUACCGUGAGGGAAAGGCGAAAAGAACCCCGGCGAGGGGAGUGAAAAAGAACCUGAAACCGUGUACGUACAAGCAGUGGGAGCAUGCUUAGGCGUGUGACUGCGUACCUUUUGUAUAAUGGGUCAGCGACUUAUAUUCUGUAGCAAGGUUAACCGAAUAGGGGAGCCGAAGGGAAACCGAGUCUUAACUGGGCGUUAAGUUGCAGGGUAUAGACCCGAAACCCGGUGAUCUAGCCAUGGGCAGGUUGAAGGUUGGGUAACACUAACUGGAGGACCGAACCGACUAAUGUUGAAAAAUUAGCGGAUGACUUGUGGCUGGGGGUGAAAGGCCAAUCAAACCGGGAGAUAGCUGGUUCUCCCCGAAAGCUAUUUAGGUAGCGCCUCGUGAA
Molecule: ribosomal RNA, 854 nt
Filed under: Escherichia coli
Lineage: Bacteria; Pseudomonadati; Pseudomonadota; Gammaproteobacteria; Enterobacterales; Enterobacteriaceae
Description: bacterial LSU rRNA
Rfam family: Bacterial large subunit ribosomal RNA
Source: RNAcentral